Molecule: ribosomal RNA, 491 nt
Filed under: uncultured bacterium
Lineage: Bacteria
Description: partial 16S ribosomal RNA
Rfam family: Bacterial small subunit ribosomal RNA
Source: RNAcentral
AGUGAACGCUGUCGGUAGGCCUAACACAUGCAAGUCGAACGGCAGCACAGUAAGAGCUUGCUCUUACGGGUGGCGAGUGGCGGACGGGUGAGGAAUACAUCGGAAUCUACUUUUUCGUGGGGGAUAACGUAGGGAAACUUACGCUAAUACCGCAUACGACCUACGGGGGAAAGCAGGGGAUCUUCGGACCUUGCGCGAUUGAAUGAGCCGAUGUCGGAUUAGCUAGUUGGCGGGGUAAAGGCCCACCAAGGCGACGAUCCGUAGCUGGUCUGAGAGGAUGAUACCCCAAACUGGAACUGAGACACGGUCCAGACCCCUACGGGGGGCAGAGGGGGGGAAUUUUGGAAAAGGGGGGAAAGCCUGACCCAGCCAUACCGGGGGGGGGAAGAAGGCCUUCGGGUUGUAAAGCCCUUUUGUUGGGAAAAAAAAGCAGCAGGUUAAACCCCCGCUGUUCGGACGGUACCAAAAAAAUAAGCACCGGCAAACUUCGU